UACGGAGGAUGCGAGCGUUAUCCGGAUUUAUUGGGUUUAAAGGGUGCGUAGGCGGGUUAUCAAGUCAGCGGUAAAAUCGUGGAGCUCAACUCCAUCCAGCCGUUGAAUCUGAUGAUCUUGAGUGGGCGAGAAGUAUGCGGAAUGCGUGGUGUAGCGGUGAAAUGCAUAGAUAUCACGCAGAACUCCGAUUGCGAAGGCAGCAUACCGGCGCCCGACUGACGCUGAAGCACGAAAGCGUGGGUAUCGAACAGG
Molecule: ribosomal RNA, 252 nt
Filed under: uncultured bacterium
Lineage: Bacteria
Description: partial 16S ribosomal RNA
Rfam family: Bacterial small subunit ribosomal RNA
Source: RNAcentral